GCCCGUGUAGCUCAGUUGGCAGAGCGGUUCAUUCGUAAUGAACAGGUCCGGGGUUCAAUUCCCCGCGCGGGCU
This 73-nucleotide transfer RNA is filed under the name marine actinobacterium MedAcidi-G1. Its description in RNAcentral is "tRNA-Thr". It matches the Rfam family "tRNA". From Rfam's summary of the family: Transfer RNA (tRNA) molecules are approximately 80 nucleotides in length. Their secondary structure includes four short double-helical elements and three loops (D, anti-codon, and T loops). Further hydrogen bonds mediate the characteristic L-shaped molecular structure. tRNAs have two regions of fundamental functional importance: the anti-codon, which is responsible for specific mRNA codon recognition, and the 3' end, to which the tRNAs corresponding amino acid is attached (by aminoacyl-tRNA synthetases). tRNAs cope with the degeneracy of the genetic code in two manners: having more than one tRNA (with a specific anti-codon) for a particular amino acid; and 'wobble' base-pairing, i.e. permitting non-standard base-pairing at the 3rd anti-codon position. RNAcentral also lists the same sequence under 3 other names. The record is from RNAcentral. Lineage: Bacteria; Bacillati; Actinomycetota; Actinomycetes.